CCCCAUUUUCGCCUGGAAGGUCACCUCUCCAGUGUUUGAGUGUCUGAAGCCGUUGGCUGCUCCUGAACCGUUUGGCUCUUUCUCCACUAGCAAACAGCCCCACAAUGUACCUCAAUCGCUCUUAAAUCUAUUUUUAAACGGUUUUAUUCCGCUUCACGCCGAUGCGAACGGGACCGGACUCUUGUUUGGGAAUUUAGCUGACGAUCUGCCGCCUCAAAGCGGCUUUAUAACGCUUUGUUUGAGCACUAUUUGACAAAAUAAUCGAGGUGGAGGAAAUUCCACACAAGCAGUGAAAGGCAGCCCUCGCGCUCAUCCGGGUAUUAAAACUGUAGAGACUCCUCCACUGCUAAGGGUUCACAUUGGAGCAAGACCUGAUCACAUGGUGCUGAGACACUUGGGUUGGAUCCUUAAAAAGCGUUUGCCUGGUGAAAAUAAAGCUGAUAGUGUGGCUAGUGUCCUGUGUGCUGACCUCAUGGUGUAAGCAGGUGUGAAGAUGAGUAUUAGCAGCGAUGAGGUCAAUUUCCUGGUGUAUAGAUACCUGCAGGAGUCAGGUAGGUGCUGCUUAAUUCAAGACCGCCCAAAUCAACACUCCAGAACUAUAACU
Molecule: long non-coding RNA, 604 nt
Organism: Carassius auratus (goldfish)
Lineage: Eukaryota; Metazoa; Chordata; Actinopteri; Cypriniformes; Cyprinidae
Exons: 4
Source: RefSeq, a predicted model, not a curated record